RNAcentral lists this long non-coding RNA (825 nucleotides) under Cairina moschata (Muscovy duck). RNAcentral's name for it is "domestica (muscovy Duck (domestic type)) lncRNA (ENSCMMG00000001006.1)". Lineage: Eukaryota; Metazoa; Chordata; Aves; Anseriformes; Anatidae. The record is from RNAcentral.
UGAAAGCAAGAAGAUUUUUUUUGAUCCUUCCAGGUAUACUUAUAAACAAUGAUUCUAUUAUUUGAGUAAUUUAAUCAAGUUUAAAAGUGGUACUAGCACCAGGAGAAUAUUAAGACAAUACCUAUGAAGUCUUUGAAGAUAAAUAUAGCUGCAGAAUUUCCUUUUCACAGUUGUCUCUCAUCUGUUUCAUUUUACUGCCCUAGCCACAAGAGGAUUUUGCCAUUUUGGAGUGAUUCUUCACAAUGUCCAGACAGAUACUCUUUUAUAAUCCCUACUGCUGGAUCCCCAGUUUUGCUCACGUAGAUGAUGAAUGCACCUCAUCCUGUGUCCACAUCAGCUGCCCACAACUCCUGCUGCCUGCGUCCACAUUUCCCUCACUGCAGGGAGCUUGUGCGUUUACUGUGGUCAUGAAGGUACUUCAAAGGCAAACACAGGCAACUCUUGAAAUGUGGAUGAUGAACACACGCUGGACAGAAAAAAACAACAAUUCCUGCAGAGGGGCAUAGCAUCAUGUAAGUGGUGCUAACUCGCAGCUCUGAUAUCUCAGACACAUUCUCUUAUGUGUACCAUCAGAAGACAUGUUCUCUUCAGACUAAGCUCAAGGCUCUUUGGUAACAUUCAUAAAUGGGAAAAAUCAUGGGAGACAAAGGCCACGUAGCUUUGUUCCAAGAAGUAAGUCUAGAGCUGGCUCUGCAAAUGGAGUUGGCAUGUAUGUGAGCUGCUCACAGCUUGCAAAUACCGAGAGGAGUAAAAUGUGCAGAGUUCAUGGGGAAUUUCUAUUGAGCCCCAUGUAGUUACUGAGGCAUUCCUCCUUAAAUUUAAGGG